This 433-nucleotide ribosomal RNA is filed under the name uncultured bacterium. RNAcentral describes it as "partial 16S ribosomal RNA". It matches the Rfam family "Bacterial small subunit ribosomal RNA", at positions 29 to 507 of the family's 1533-position model. The record is from RNAcentral.
AACGAACGCUGGCGGCAUGCCUAACACAUGCAAGUCGAACGAAACCUUCGGGUCUAGUGGCGCACGGGUGCGUAACGCGUGGGAACCUGCACUUAGGUUCGGAAUAACUCCCCGAAAGGGGUGCUAAUACCGGAUAAUGUCUUCGGACCAAAGAUUUAUCGACUUUGGAUGGGCCCGCGUUGGAUUAGCUAGUUGGUAGGGUAAAAGCCUACCAAGGCGACGAUCCAUAGCUGGUCUGAGAGGAUGAUCAGCCACACUGGGACUGAGACACGGCCCAGACUCCUACGGGAGGCAGCAGUGGGGAAUAUUGGACAAUGGGCGAAAUCCCGAUCCAGCACUGCCGCGUGAGUGAUGAAGGCCUUAGGGUUGUAAAGCUCUUCUACCCGGGAUGAUAAUGACAGUACCGGGAGAAUAAGCUCCGGCUAACUCCGUG